Long non-coding RNA from Mauremys reevesii (Reeves's turtle), 414 nucleotides. RefSeq lists it as uncharacterized. The record is from RefSeq and is a predicted model, not a curated record. NCBI's taxonomy places the organism in Eukaryota, Metazoa, Chordata, Testudines, Geoemydidae. The transcript has 4 exons.
AUUAGGUGUAAGUACCUGGGGCUCUGCUGAACUGGAGCUUGUUUAACUUGGUUUACCUUAAACCAAAGAGUUUCAGACAACUUCCUGUGUAUGAUUUGGAGCUGCUGGUUGUGUACUGUAAGCUGCAGGACUCCUGUGUAACGGAUUGUAAAGCUCCAGUCUUCUCUACAUGGUAAAGGGUAACAUAUUCUAAAAGUGGCAUCCCAAGGCAGUAGGGGAGAGAUGUAGCCCUUGGGAGGAGCCAGAAUGAUGGCCACUGGUGAAGAUGAGCAAGAUAAUGGUCAACAUUUCAGGUUGUCCUGCAAGGGACGGUGGUCACCCCCCCCACAGUUUCUAAAUGCUGCUGAAUGACUUCUUUGAAAGAUCUCUAAUAUGGAAAGAGCUGGUUGUACUUUAAAGAAGCCUAAUAUCUAU